RNAcentral lists this ribosomal RNA (472 nucleotides) under unidentified nematode Sourhope farm. RNAcentral describes it as "SSU rRNA". It matches the Rfam family "Eukaryotic small subunit ribosomal RNA", at positions 58 to 529 of the family's 1831-position model. Lineage: Eukaryota; Metazoa; Nematoda. The record is from RNAcentral.
UGUAAGCACAUGCCUUAAAACGGUAAAGCCGCGAAUGGCUCGGUAUAACAGCCACUGUUUAUUAAACUCUAGUCAUCUACUUGGAUAACUGUGGCAAUUCUAGAGCUAAUACAUGCACGCAGGCUCGGACCUUUUGGGAAGAGCGCAUUUAUUAGACCAAAACCAAUCGGGCUUCGGCCUGUGUUUUGGUGACUCUGAAUAACUAAGUCGAUCGCACAGUCUUAGUACUGGCGACGUAUUUUUCAAAUGUCUGCCUUAUCAACUUUCGAUGGUAGGUUAUACGCCUACCAUGGUUAUAACGGGUAACGGAGAAUUAGGGUUCGACUCCGGAGAGGGAGCCUGAGAAAUGGCUACCACAUCCAAGGAAGGCAGCAGGCGCGCAAAUUACCCAAUCCCAGAACGGGGAGGUAGUGACGAAAAAUAACGAGGUAAUCCACUUUGUGGCUUGCCAUCGGAAUGGGCACAAUAUAAA